RNAcentral lists this long non-coding RNA (281 nucleotides) under Mytilus galloprovincialis (Mediterranean mussel). The record is from RNAcentral. Lineage: Eukaryota; Metazoa; Mollusca; Bivalvia; Mytilida; Mytilidae.
UACGACAACGUUUCGAAAGUGAUGAAAUUACUUUUGAUAAUAUUCUGGCUUUUUAAUCGGCCAUUCCAACAUUUCAAAUUAUUGAUUAUGGGAGUAAAUCCAAACUCUCGUCUUACAAUCCAAACAACGCGAGCAUUAUGAUGCAAAUGCAAACAAUGAAAAACGAAGUGAAAGUAUUUUAAUUUAUAGGAUAUAAUUUACAAUCAGAGAGAACUUUUACAUACAAAAUGUCAGACGUCACAAGUCAUUAACUUCCGGUCAAAACGGAAACCUGAAUAAAC